Molecule: ribosomal RNA, 501 nt
Filed under: uncultured bacterium
Lineage: Bacteria
Description: partial 16S ribosomal RNA
Rfam family: Bacterial small subunit ribosomal RNA
Source: RNAcentral
AUUGAACGCUGGCGGCAGGCUUAACACAUGCAAGUCGAGCGGAGAUGAGGUGCUUGCACCUUAUCUUAGCGGCGGACGGGUGAGUAAUGCUUAGGAAUCUGCCUAUUAGUGGGGGACAACAUUCCGAAAGGAAUGCUAAUACCGCAUACGUCCUACGGGAGAAAGCAGGGGAUCUUCGGACCUUGCGCUAAUAGACGAGCCUAAGUCGGAUUAGCUAGUUGGUGGGGUAAAGGCCUACCAAGGCGACGAUCUGUAGCGGGUCUGAGAGGAUGAUCCGCCACACUGGGACUGAGAAACGGCCCAGACUCCUACGGGAGGCAGCAGUGGGGAAUAUUGGACAAUGGAGGAAACCCUGAUACAGCCAUGCCGCGUGUGUGAAGAAGGCCUUAUGGUUGUAAAGCACUUUAAGCGAGGAGGAGGCUACUGAGACUAAUACUCUUGGAUAGUGGACGUUACUCGCAGAAUAAGCACCGGCUAACUCUGUGUCAGCAGCCGCCGCAG